GCUGGGUAUGGUGGUGCAUACCUGUAGUCCCAACUACUAGGGAGGCUGAGGUAGGAGGAUUGCUUGAGCCCAGGAGGUCGAGACUGCAGUGAAUGGAGAUCAUGCCACUGCACUCCAGCCUGGGCAACUGAGUGAGACCCAGUCUCCA
Unclassified non-coding RNA from Macaca fascicularis (crab-eating macaque), 148 nucleotides. It matches the Rfam family "Metazoan signal recognition particle RNA". Rfam says of the family: The signal recognition particle (SRP) is a universally conserved ribonucleoprotein. It is involved in the co-translational targeting of proteins to membranes. The eukaryotic SRP consists of a 300-nucleotide 7S RNA and six proteins: SRPs 72, 68, 54, 19, 14, and 9. Lineage: Eukaryota; Metazoa; Chordata; Mammalia; Primates; Cercopithecidae. The record is from Ensembl.